GACGAACGCUGGCGGCGUGCUUAACACAUGCAAGUCGAACGGAAAGGCCCUGCUUUUGUGGGGUGCUCGAGUGGCGAACGGGUGAGUAACACGUGAGUAACCUGCCCUUGACUUUGGGAUAACUUCAGGAAAUUGGGGCUAAUACCGGAUAGGAGCUCCUGCUGCAUGGUGGGGGUUGGAAAGUUUCGGCGGUUGGGGAUGGACUCGCGGCUUAUCAGCUUGUUGGUGGGGUAGUGGCUUACCAAGGCUUUGACGGGUAGCCGGCCUGAGAGGGUGACCGGCCACAUUGGGACUGAGAUACGGCCCAGACUCCUACGGGAGGCAGCAGUGGGGAAUAUUGCACAAUGGGCGGAAGCCUGAUGCAGCAACGCCGCGUGCGGGAUGACGGCCUUCGGGUUGUAAACCGCUUUCGCCUGUGACGAAGCGUGAGUGGCGGUAAUGGGUAAAGAAGCACCGGCUAACUACGUG
This 468-nucleotide ribosomal RNA is filed under the name uncultured bacterium. RNAcentral describes it as "partial 16S ribosomal RNA". It matches the Rfam family "Bacterial small subunit ribosomal RNA", at positions 28 to 507 of the family's 1533-position model. The record is from RNAcentral.